UACGUAGGUGGCAAGCGUUAUCCGGAAUUAUUGGGCGUAAAGCGCGCGUAGGCGGUUUUUUAAGUCUGAUGUGAAAGCCCACGGCUCAACCGAGGAGGGGCUUUGGAAACUGGAAAACUUGAGUGCAGAAGAGGAAAGUGGAAUUCCAUGUGUAGCGGUGAAAUGCGUAGAUAUAUGGAGGAACACCAGUGGCGAAGGCGACUUUCUGGUCUGUAACUGACGUUGAUGUGCGAAAGUGUGGGGAGCAAACAGG
RNAcentral lists this ribosomal RNA (253 nucleotides) under uncultured bacterium. RNAcentral's name for it is "partial 16S ribosomal RNA". It matches the Rfam family "Bacterial small subunit ribosomal RNA", at positions 524 to 776 of the family's 1533-position model. The record is from RNAcentral.